Molecule: transfer RNA, 80 nt
Filed under: Escherichia coli
Lineage: Bacteria; Pseudomonadati; Pseudomonadota; Gammaproteobacteria; Enterobacterales; Enterobacteriaceae
Description: tRNA-Met
Rfam family: tRNA
About the family: Transfer RNA (tRNA) molecules are approximately 80 nucleotides in length. Their secondary structure includes four short double-helical elements and three loops (D, anti-codon, and T loops). Further hydrogen bonds mediate the characteristic L-shaped molecular structure. tRNAs have two regions of fundamental functional importance: the anti-codon, which is responsible for specific mRNA codon recognition, and the 3' end, to which the tRNAs corresponding amino acid is attached (by aminoacyl-tRNA synthetases). tRNAs cope with the degeneracy of the genetic code in two manners: having more than one tRNA (with a specific anti-codon) for a particular amino acid; and 'wobble' base-pairing, i.e. permitting non-standard base-pairing at the 3rd anti-codon position.
Source: RNAcentral
CGCGGGGUGGAGCAGCCUGGUAGCUCGUCGGGCUCAUAACCCGAAGGUCGUCGGUUCAAAUCCGGCCCCCCCCGCAACCA